RNAcentral lists this ribosomal RNA (460 nucleotides) under uncultured bacterium. Its description in RNAcentral is "partial 16S ribosomal RNA". It matches the Rfam family "Bacterial small subunit ribosomal RNA", at positions 338 to 795 of the family's 1533-position model. The record is from RNAcentral.
CCUACGGGGGGCAGCAGUGAGGAAUAUUGGUCAAUGGACGAGAGUCUGAACCAGCCAAGUAGCGUGAAGGAAGACUGCCCUAUGGGUUGUAAACUUCUUUUAUAAGGGAAUAAAACGAGGCACGUCUUCCUUUUUGCAUGUACUUUAUGAAUAAGGAUCGGCUAACUCCGUGCCAGCAGCCGCGGUAUUACGGAGGAUCCGAGCGUUAUCCGGAUUUAUUGGGUUUAAAGGGAGCGUAGAUGGGUUUUUAAGUCAGGUGUGAAAGGUUGCGGCUCAACCGUAAAAUUGCAAUUGAUACUGGCAGUCUUGAGUACAGUUGAGGUAGGCGGAAUUCGUGGUGUAGCGGUGAAAUGCUUAGAUAUCACGAAGAACCCCGAUGGCGAAGGCAGCUUACUAAACUGUGACUGACAUUGAUGCUCGAAAGUGUGGGUAUCAAACAGGAUUAGAUACCCUAGUAGUC